CCUACGGGGGGCAGCAGUCGAGAAUCAUUCACAAUGGGGGAAACCCUGAUGGUGCGACGCCGCGUGGGGGAAUGAAGGUCUUCGGAUUGUACACCCCUGUCAUGUGGGAGCAAAUUAAAAAGAUAGUACCACAAGAGGAAGAGACGGCUAACUCUGUGCCAGCAGCCGCGGUAAUACAGAGGUCUCAAGCGUUGUUAGGAAUCACUGGGCGUAAAGCGUGCGUAGGCUGUUUCGUAAGUCGUGUGUGAAAGGCGCGGGCUCAACCCGCGGACGGCACAUGAUACUGCGAGACUAGAGUAAUGGAGGGGGAACGGGAAUUCUCGGUGUAGCAGUGAAAUGCGUAGAUAUAGAGAGGAACACUCGUGGCGAAGGCGGGUUCCUGGACAUUAACUGACGCUGAGGCACGAAGGCCAGGGGAGCGAAAGGGAUUAGAUACCCUGGUAGUC
RNAcentral lists this ribosomal RNA (446 nucleotides) under uncultured bacterium. Its description in RNAcentral is "partial 16S ribosomal RNA". It matches the Rfam family "Bacterial small subunit ribosomal RNA", at positions 338 to 795 of the family's 1533-position model. The record is from RNAcentral.